Molecule: ribosomal RNA, 271 nt
Filed under: uncultured archaeon
Lineage: Archaea
Description: partial 16S ribosomal RNA
Rfam family: Archaeal small subunit ribosomal RNA
Source: RNAcentral
CAGCGUCACGAGUGGCAACCAUAUUUAUUGGGCCUAAAGCGUCUGUAGCCUGUUUGAUAAGUCCUUUGUGAAAUCGUUGCGCUCAACGUAACGUUGUGCAAGAGAUACUGUCAGACUUGGAAUUGGGAAGAGUUAGAGGUAUUCUGGGGGGAGCGGUAAAAUGCUAUAAUCCCUGGAGGACCACCAGUGGCGAAAGCGUCUAACUAGAACAACUUCGACGGUGAGGGACGAAAGCCAGGGGCGCAAACCGGAUUAGAUACCCGAGUAGUCC